GAAUCCUCGCGAAAGGGGUGGCGGUCAAAGCGGUGUUCUCUCUCCCCAAUCGCCACCACAUCUUCAUCGUCCAAUGGAUAGCUCCAUCACGUCCUGUCUCGAAUUAUCCAGACCUUCAUCGCCAAUCCCCAUCCAUUAGGUAAAAAAAAAAACCUUGAUUCUUGCGGUUGGCGGCCUCCUCCUACGCCUAGGCCCUGCAGCUCCAUGUGUAUAUGAAGGAUCCAUCAGCUGGCACGUUCCCAGGCCGAAUCCCUUUGUCGCCGGUGGCCAUGGGGCGGCUGCAGCUCGAUCCUCAUGACCUCGCCGGCUGGUCCGCCGUGUGCCUGCUCGGCGGCCAGCACCGUCCCAGCUUGCUCUUGAUCUAGGGGUGAAACCCACUGGUGAAAACCUACGGCCGGCCUAUCGGACCUUUUGGCCGACCCCAUCCCACGUAGGAAACUAGGAAUUCCCUCCUUCCUCUUCUCCUCUGCUUUGUACCUGACACUUCGUGUCCGCCGGCCAUCACUUCUUACUCAAGGAGCAUGACAAGGGAGCAUCCUCGAAUUUGUAGUGAAGUUCCUCCCCGUUCUCCUCACCAAAGUCUGUUAUGCAAGAAUAAUAUGAGGUUCUGCAGAUGAUUGGUCCCAGAUCUUCAUGUUCUACCUAGGAUGGUUUGGAUUUUUUAGACCUGAACUUAAAUGCACAGUACGGAUCUUUCUAUUUUUUCAAAGAAAAUUACUCUUGCUGUCUUCCGAUGCCUCUGAACAUUUUGCCUCUGAACUAAUUGGUGUAAUAGAUCUUCUCACAAUUCCUCUUUUGUCUCAGUCAUAAAGGUCAGAUGUCUCAUGCUUGGUUGUUUUUUCAGUAUAUGCUUUCCUUGCAUAGUGCCGAGCUUCACAUCAAAAGGGUAUUUUAAUUGUAGGUUUUUGGAUUCAGCUGUAGUUCACCGACGAUGGUGACGGGUGCACAAAGGCCAUAGAGGCAAAGUCAAAAAUGGCAGGAUUGAUGCAGGCGGUCAUGGCAAGAAACUGACCAAUCAAUUACCUCCAGAAGUGCUCAGGAUCCCCUGUAAGGCAAAGCAAGUUCCGCUGCUCCAAUAACGUCUCUCUUACAUUCGGAAUCAAUUUUUUGCUAAAUUUCAUGAAUCUUUUGUUACUGAAUACGUCCUUCAUUUUCAUUGCCUAGAUUUCAGCCUGCCCAAUGAAGAGUUGAAUUGUACCUUCAUCAGCCCAUGGAUGAGCAAGUGAGCAGGCUAUAUGUACAGCUAACGAAACUGCUCUCAUCCAAUCAUUUACAUACCUACAGAUGUAAAUUCUGCUAUGCCUACUAAUGCUGAGAUCGUUUUGUUUCGGUUGGUACUAAAUCGGGUAGGCCACAAGUUUUCCUACGUCAUGGCUGCAGUCGGUUAAUAUUAGAAACUAAUGUUUUGGAGAUACCUUGCAGUUUUUACCUAGCCAGCAAUGAUUUUUGGUCUCCUUUAGGGCACUAUGUUACAACUUACAACUAAACUCUGGCACUGUCUAAAUUCUUAAUUCCUGCUUGACAAUGUUGUUUUCAUUAUUUUUUUCCAUGUUUGUUUUUGCAGGCGCCAUUCUCAGUUGUAUGGGUAGUGCAGGCAAGGUGGGCUGCUGCCUGACAGUGGGAAUGACAACUUGCUGACCUCCGCUGGACCUUGAGUGUGACCUGAAGAAUCACAGGCUAUGAAUGGUGAGCUGAAGCGAGAGGACUUGGUGGACGCGUGGUCAAGGAACCUCCCCUACUACAUUGGCGAAUGGUAAUGGCUCAGCGUUGGCCGUCAUUUGCAGUAUCACCUUCUGUAGCUUUCGAUUAUGUGAGAUUUUUACAAAGCAACUGUAGUUCAACGUGGCAAAAUCUGAUUUGUGAGUUAUUUACACCCUAUGCUUUUGUUCAUGUGGUAGUGAAUUGUACUUUCACUAGCUCCAGCAGCAGCAACGACGAUGACAAGCUGGCCAAACCCACAACUGAAGCCAUGGAUGAGAUGUCAUUGUUGCCUGGCGUUUAGCACUUCUCUACAAGUUAUAUGAAGCAAUGGACGCACCAAGCUGCCUCUUCUAUUUACUUAUUAAUUCUUUGAGAGGUUGACGAAAUUUUCCAAAACCUGCCUUUUCUCAUGGGCAGCUUUAUGGUGGUGUCUCAAGGAUAAUUUCUAGGAGAGGGCUAAAAGCCCUUGCGCUUGAUGAAAAUGGAGAAACAACUUUAGAAACAAAAAACAUAGUGUACCAGGAGAUGCUUGAUAAUAUCUGGACGAUAUAUGUCAAUAUGUGUAGUUGUAGGAUCAGGACUCUGUUCAAGGGUUCAACCUGAAGUUGCUGCAGUUGAUGGUUACAGACCAACCGAUCUAGGAGAAAUGGAUUCCUUGCGAACAUAAUGGACUUAGGCUAGAAAAAAGAGCCAUACAGUGUUCUCUUCCCUGAACUUUCUUAGCUGGUGUGUUAAAAGGGGUACCUUCUUUAGUUUUGUUCUCUGCAUUCUGUUGUGAAGAAGUAUAUCAGAAGCCUCACUUUCUAUUUA
Molecule: long non-coding RNA, 2511 nt
Organism: Lolium rigidum
Lineage: Eukaryota; Viridiplantae; Streptophyta; Magnoliopsida; Poales; Poaceae
Exons: 5
Source: RefSeq, a predicted model, not a curated record